UACGUAGGUGACAAGCGUUGUCCGGAUUUACUGGGCGUAAAGAGCGCGCAGGCGGUCGAUCAAGUCGAGUGUGAAAGCCCCCGGCUCAACUGGGGAGGGUCAUUCGAUACUGAUCGACUCGAAGGCAGGAGAGGGUAGUGGAAUUCCCGGUGUAGUGGUGAAAUGCGUAGAGAUCGGGAGGAACACCAGUGGCGAAGGCGGCUCGCUGGGCCGGUCCUGACGCUGAGACGCGAAGGCGUGGGGAGCGAACGGG
This 253-nucleotide ribosomal RNA is filed under the name uncultured bacterium. Its description in RNAcentral is "partial 16S ribosomal RNA". It matches the Rfam family "Bacterial small subunit ribosomal RNA", at positions 524 to 776 of the family's 1533-position model. The record is from RNAcentral.